ACAUGCAAGUCGAACGAACUCUGGUAUUGAUUGGUGCUUGCAUCAUGAUUUACAUUUGAGUGAGUGGCGAACUGGUGAGUAACACGUGGGAAACCUGCCCAGAAGCGGGGGAUAACACCUGGAAACAGAUGCUAAUACCGCAUAACAACUUGGACCGCAUGGUCCGAGCUUGAAAGAUGGCUUCGGCUAUCACUUUUGGAUGGUCCCGCGGCGUAUUAGCUAGAUGGUGGGGUAACGGCUCACCAUGGCAAUGAUACGUAGCCGACCUGAGAGGGUAAUCGGCCACAUUGGGACUGAGACACGGCCCAAACUCCUACGGGAGGCAGCAGUAGGGAAUCUUCCACAAUGGACGAAAGUCUGAUGGAGCAACGCCGCGUGAGUGAAGAAGGGUUUCGGCUCGUAAAACUCUGUUGUUAAAGAAGAACAUAUCUGAGAGUAACUGUUCAGGUAUUGACGGUAUUUAACCAGAAAGCCACGGCUAACUACGUGCCAGCAGCCGCGGUAAUACGUAGGUGGCAAGCGUUGUCCGGAUUUAUUGGGCGUAAAGCGAGCGCAGGCGGUUUUUUAAGUCUGAUGUGAAAGCCUUCGGCUCAACCGAAGAAGUGCAUCGGAAACUGGGAAACUUGAGUGCAGAAGAGGACAGUGGAACUCCAUGUGUAGCGGUGAAAUGCGUAGAUAUAUGGAAGAACACCAGUGGCGAAGGCGGCUGUCUGGUCUGUAACUGACGCUGAGGCUCGAAAGUAUGGGUAGCAAACAGGAUUAGAUACCCUGGUAGUCCAUACCGUAAACGAUGAAUGCUAAGUGUUGGAGGGUUUCCGCCCUUCAGUGCUGCAGCUAACGCAUUAAGCAUUCCGCCUGGGGAGUACGGCCGCAAGGCUGAAACUCAAAGGAAUUGACGGGGGCCCGCACAAGCGGUGGAGCAUGUGGUUUAAUUCGAAGCUACGCGAAGAACCUUACCAGGUCUUGACAUACUAUGCAAAUCUAAGAGAUUAGACGUUCCCUUCGGGGACAUGGAUACAGGUGGUGCAUGGUUGUCGUCAGCUCGUGUCGUGAGAUGUUGGGUUAAGUCCCGCAACGAGCGCAACCCUUAUUAUCAGUUGCCAGCAUUAAGUUGGGCACUCUGGUGAGACUGCCGGUGACAAACCGGAGGAAGGUGGGGAUGACGUCAAAUCAUCAUGCCCCUUAUGACCUGGGCUACACACGUGCUACAAUGGAUGGUACAACGAGUUGCGAACUCGCGAGAGUAAGCUAAUCUCUUAAAGCCAUUCUCAGUUCGGAUUGUAGGCUGCAACUCGCCUACAUGAAGUCGGAAUCGCUAGUAAUCGCGGAUCAGCAUGCCGCGGUGAAUACGUUCCCGGGCCUUGUACACACCGCCCGUCACACCAUGAGAGUUUGUAACACCCAAAGUCGGUGGGGUAACCUUUUAGGAACCA
This 1433-nucleotide ribosomal RNA is filed under the name Lactiplantibacillus plantarum. RNAcentral's name for it is "bacterial SSU rRNA". It matches the Rfam family "Bacterial small subunit ribosomal RNA". Lineage: Bacteria; Bacillati; Bacillota; Bacilli; Lactobacillales; Lactobacillaceae. The record is from RNAcentral.